This 279-nucleotide ribosomal RNA is filed under the name uncultured bacterium. RNAcentral describes it as "partial 16S ribosomal RNA". It matches the Rfam family "Bacterial small subunit ribosomal RNA", at positions 506 to 784 of the family's 1533-position model. The record is from RNAcentral.
UGCCAGCCGCCGCGGUAAUACGGAGGGGGCAAGCGUUGUUCGGAAUUACUGGGCGUAAAGGGCGUGUAGGCGGCGGUUUUAGUCAGGCGUGAAAGCCCGAGGCUCAACCUCGGAAUAGCGCUUGAUACUGCCAAGCUAGCGUAAAGUUGAGGUGGGUGGAAUUCUACAUGUAGCGGUGAAAUGCAUAGAUAUGUAGAGGAAUGCCGAUAGCGAAAGCAACUCACUAAGCUUUUACGGACGCUGAGGUACGAAAGCGUGGGGAGCGAACAGGAUUAGAUA